CGUUAAAACACCGGUUCCCGUACGAUCCCCGUAGUUAAGCAACGUUGAUCCUGAUCAGUAACUAAAUGGGUAACCGCUUGCGAAUACAAGGUGUUGUAAG
Molecule: non-coding RNA, 100 nt
Organism: Acanthosepion pharaonis
Lineage: Eukaryota; Metazoa; Mollusca; Cephalopoda; Sepiida; Sepiidae
Source: the annotation of a GenBank genome assembly